RNAcentral lists this long non-coding RNA (1310 nucleotides) under Coturnix japonica (Japanese quail). RNAcentral describes it as "lncRNA (ENSCJPG00005007230.1)". Lineage: Eukaryota; Metazoa; Chordata; Aves; Galliformes; Phasianidae. The record is from RNAcentral.
AGCUUCUGUCCCUGUGCUCAAGGGCAUAAGUCUGACAGUUUGGAUAGUUGUUCCUUGUUAUCAUGUACAGGUAUGAAAUAAGAUUAUAAGCAUCUGAUGAAACCUUAGGCCUUUUCCUUUGCUUUAUUGUGCAGCUGGGAGGAUGCCUUGUAGUAUUUCCUACAUUUUGCCAAAGAAUAUUUCUCCUUAGCUCUUAACUUUCUGUCCUAGCAGACCAAAUACAGUUGGCAGGGUACAAGCAGACAGCAACCAAUGAUGUCUGUUCAUAAAAGCACUGCAGACUCAUUCUGUAUAAAGGCAGGUUCUGCUGCAGGCUCCAGCUUGAUACUAAUUCAGAUCCACCUGAGCCCUAUGUUUUGUGAGUAUAAAGCUUGUUGUAGACAUACAGAGCAAGCCUUUAGCUAGCAAAAUCUCACCUUCCUUUCCUGUCUUUAAUGUAUCAUCAUCUGAAAGCCAAGAGCUGUUAUUAUUACACACUGUCAUUAACCAGCACAUGCUGAAUGUGGAGGCAUUGCAGUCAAGUAUAAAAAUCUGGCUGUAGACUCCUGGGACUGAUUUUCCAUGGAGGUGAAAGCAAACCUGUGACAGUCAACAAAUUAGGAAAUUCCUGAUGUGUCACACACUGCUGCGUGCAGGAGCUCUGGGGGAUGUGAUGCAGAAAUAUGGCCCAUUAGCAGAGCUCAUAAGGUGUUGAUGUUCUUGUGGGUGAUACAGGGCAUAAAACGCAGCCAGGCAAUACAACAAACCACAAGCUUGGUGCCUUCAGAAAGUUUGUCUUGCAGUAGCCCCCAUGAAGGGCUGCCACGGUUGAACAUGCAAUUGCUGGAGUGCAACAAUCUGUGUCUCAAACACAGCACGGGCAGCAGUGAUUUGAGCCAGUCCCAUCUCUUCAAUAGGAAGACCAGCUUGUCUGUGGAACGUAUCACUGCCAAAGCAAACUGUGGAAAUCUAAUGAUAUUGCAUAUUGCUCUCAAAGAUGGAGAAAACAUUUGUAAUGCUCCGGCUUAUCACUAAGCUGCCCAGUCACGAAAGAAGUAGCAAGCUGAUGCAUUCAAAUAAUAGCAGGAAAAAUAACAGAAGAGGAGAAAAAUGUUUGAAGAAAUCUCUGCUUGGUGCUAACUUCUCUUAUCAAAAUGACCAAUGCUUUGGCCAGAUCAGUAUGAUUGUAAUAGAAGUUCUGAGAUGUGAUUUGAUGUGAUAUUCAUGGAGGUAUUGUUUGGUAAUCUUAUUCUACUUUUAUAUUUUCUACCAAUCUCUUCCCCUGGUCCAUAGUUACACUGGAAAAAAUAGUAAUUGAGAGUGCAUAUAAU